Molecule: non-coding RNA, 24535 nt
Organism: Pelobates cultripes (western spadefoot toad)
Lineage: Eukaryota; Metazoa; Chordata; Amphibia; Anura; Pelobatidae
Source: the annotation of a GenBank genome assembly
UACAAGUUAAAAACAUUUCCUUUAAUUAAAAAAUAAACCAUAUGCCAUGAUAACAUUUAUCGGUUUUAUGUAGGUGGAGCCCAUCUCAAAAUCACCAAGUGAAGAUUUAAUAAAACAAAAGCCAAUUCAUGGAGAGGGAUAUUCUUCUUUGUCAACCACUGAAUUUUGUGUUGCUGCUCGAGGUGUUUUUUAAUUGAAUGUGAAUUCCAUAGUCGCUGGCAUGACGCCUAUACUGCACUGGUUAAUGUUUCUCUUCAUUCUCACAUAGCCGGCUUCUCCCCAACCAUCACCCCAGCUACAAGAAAAAAAAUAUACAGUUUUUAAUUGGUGAUGGUAAUGCAAUAAUAUCUCAGUGUAACGUAUGUUCCAACUAUCCUAAUCCUCAUUUCUGAACAGCACCAACCAGAUUUUUAUUCUUUAUAUCUGUAAUACGGUAUUUGCCAACAUUAAUGAAUCUGCAAGUGUUUUAUUUAGUUUUUUUGCAAAAGUGGAGGUAAAUUAUUUUUCUGUCUAAGCUCAAGGGGCAAAUAUAGAAUACUUUCUUAGGAUGCACACACGUUUUUAACGGGAUAUGCAUAAUAUAUUUCUGGACAACAAGCAAAGAUAAGCUUUUAUGUUAGCUAUCCAACUUUUAAUAUAUGAGCAGGUGAAUAUUUAGACAACAGAUUUGGAGUUGGACAAUGUUAAAUAACUGAUUUCCUGAUAAAAAAAAAAUGAAUAUCUCAAAAUACAAGAUAACAGACCGGUGAUACAACAAUGAUACAUAUUGCAGAAUACAUAAACUAUAUGGGCCACGCGAUUCUUUAUUCUGUCAUAAAAUAAUAGUAUCUAAACAUGCAUGACAACCUGUUGACAUUUUGUUUCAGGGGAAAUUAAUAUGUAUUUAAGGAACACUAUAGUCACCUAAAUUACUUUAGCUAAAUAAAGCAAUUUUAGUGUAUAGAUCAUUCCCCUGCAAUUUCACUGCUCAAUUCACUGUCAUUUAGGAGUUAAAUCACUUUGUUUCUGUGUAUGCAGCCCUACUCACACCUCCCUGGCUAUGAUUGACAGAGCCUGCAUGAAAAAAAAAAACUGGUUUCACUUUCAAACAGAUGUAAUUUACCUUAAAUAAUUGUAUCUCAAUCUCUAAAUUGAACUUAAAUCACAUACAGGAGGCUCUUGCAGGGUCUAGCAAGCUAUUAACAUAGCAGGGGAUAAGAAAAUCUUAAUUAAACAGAACUUGCAAUAAAGAAAGCCUAAAUAGGGCUCUCUUUACAGGAAGUGUUUAUGGAAGGCUGUGCAAGUCACAUGCAGGGAGGUGUGACUAGGGUUCAUAAACAAAGAGAUUUAACUCCUAAAUGGCAGAGGGUUGAGCAGUGAGGCCGCAUGGGCAUGUUCUAUACACCAAAACUGCUUUAUUAAGCUAAAGUUGUUCUGGUGACUAUAGUUUCCCUUUAAUUACAAACAACCCUGGGAUUCUGCUACUUCAAGGCAAAAGUGAACUAUGGUGGUGCACUUCUGAGCUAUUGAGCUGAGUUGAGCUAUUUUUUUUAUUUCUCUCAAGAAGCUGACAGUUUUAACAUUGAAUUUUAAGUGCACUCAUCUUCACUUAAGUUUUAAUAACUUAACUCAGCAUCUAUAAUUCAUGUUUUAAAGAUUCUAAUGCAUAUGCGUAAUACUUCACCCAAAGAUCAGCCACUUAUGAGCUUUUGUGAUUCUGUGAUUCUGUAAAAAUGUGAUUUUCAAUCCUUGUCAAUAUGCAAUAUAAGACAUAGAUCAAAAUGAUAAUUAUUCAUUUACCUAUUCCUAACUGUCCAGAAAUUACGACCGUAACCCACAACGACAAUUGCAUGAUUUGGUCCAUCAGCACAGGUUCCAUCAUAUAUUCCUAAAUUAAAUGAAAGAUUAACAUUUUUAAUUUUUUUUUUUUUUCAUAUAUGUACAUUUAUUUUUACAUUUAAGGUUGUCACUUUCCCUUAAAUACAAUAUUGCACCUAGUGUUGAGGAUAAUUUGCUAGUUUGUCCAUCACUUCACUAUUAAUUUAACAUUCACCUGUAUUUUCUCUCCAAUUGUAUAUUGUACUUGCUGCUCUCUUAACAAUAACAAUUGUUUAAAAACAUAUAAUAAAGAUAUGUCAAAAUUAUUUUUAGAGUUUGAGAUGAAAAAGUUUUCCAAUCCAGAGUUUAACGAUCCUUACGUGUUCUAAAUACUAGUUUCGGAAAUGACAUACACUCUGGGCAGCACGUUAAGGAUUGAUUUUUACAAUCCAGAAUCCUAAUAAAUUAUUAUGGUAAAUAGCAAUUAGGAUAAAUUGAUUAUAUUGAUAGAGUUAAAAGAUAAACAAAGUGUGUUUGCAAUUUUCGCUGACACUAUUUCCAUGACAGGUAUUGUUCCCAUAUAGAUUUACUCAGAACUAAUUGUGUUUUUGUUAGAUAGAACUCAUGUACACUUGGACCUGAAGACUCAAUAGCUAAGCCUAUGGGCAAACUCAUGCUGAGCAAAUUGUUUCUGAAUUUCAAUAAAGAACAGAAUCUCAGAGCAACCUUAAUUACUUAUAUGUUUACUGUGGGUGACAUCUCAACUAUUGAUCUAGCUAAACUUUCAAAUUGGUUUGUGUAUGGUUAAAUACAUUUCAUUAGUUGAAUAAUAAUAUUCUAGUUCUUUUAUAUUUCAUUCCAAAUUAUAUCAUCACAAGAGUUACUGGAAUUUCUUUUUUAAAUAAAACAAAAUUUUUAACGUGGUACUCUUUGUAUACAACUUCCAAGAAGUUCUAAGUAAUCUGAAGAACACAUCUCAUAAUGUACUCUGACAUAAAAAAAUAAUAUUGUAUCAUUAACAUGGUUCGUUAAAAAAUUACCUUUUUCAUACAGCAUAAAUUCAUCAUUAACUCCAAUUCCAGCUGUAAGAGGUCCAUUAGUUGCCACUGAUGCUGCCAUAUUUGCCUCUCCAUUCACAUAAUAGAAUCUUUUUGCUUUCAUCUUUAUUGCAUUGUUUGAGUUAAAUAAGCAUUUACCUUGCUACAAAGAAACAAACAGCGAAAUUAACUAAAAGCAGCAAAAUGAAUUUAUAAACUUGUUCUCUCAUAUGAAGGACAGAAACACAUUGUCAUACUAGUUGUUUAGAUCUGUUAACCCCUUGAUGCUUAGACUUCCCAUGGUAUACCUUGUGUAGCUCUUGACUUUAAUCUAACCCUAUGUCUUAUGAGUUAUGAUGGAAAAACAAACUGUGUUAAUGUCUAUAAGACCCUUAUUUUGGGUGGUGAAGAAGUGGCAUUAUAAACAUGGGCUUUUAAUUACCUUUGCCCUUUUCAGCUGUCACAUUUAAAUGAUGGUAGGAAUUAUCAUGGUUGAGAACAGGACUCCUGGUCCAUAUACAUACCCUCUUUAAUAUAAAUAUUGUGUAGCAGAGAUCCUCCAAUCCUCUAAACACAAUUACUUUGUGCUCUAAACUAAUUCCAAAUUAUAUGGUUCUAGCAGCUAAUCCUUGUAUUCAGUGUCUGGUCCAAAUCCUGUGUCCACACACAAUAUAUAUAACCAUGCACCCCUAGCUCAGUCAUACAAAUCUAUAUAUCAAUGGCUGAUUUUGUGUGGUCAGGUUUUGUGGCAUUCAGUCACAGAAUUAUCUUCAAUGUAUAGUACAAUACAAGAGAAAAUCUAAAUGUAAAGGACUGUACAUGAUCGUCUCAAGGGAUGAAAUCUCCUACCUUUUCUUUAUACUUGUAGUCGUCACUCUUCAUAAUACCAUUUUUGGAAACAUAUUCCAGAGCCUUAACUGGGAGUCCACCAUCGCAACCAUCAUUUGCUUUAUCGCAAUCCACAAGCUGCUGCUCACUGAAUAUGAGUUGCUUACCCUUAUCAAGGCAGUAACGGGUUUCAAUAAGGCUCACCUUAAAACACAAUUUACAUACCAUCCUUUUAAUUUACCAAGAAAUACCAAAACACAAUAACAAACCAAAUGCACUAACAGAAAUUGGUAGGUACAGGAAUCAGGUAGGUUUGUCUCCCAAAAUACCACCAAAGAAAAACUCACCCCAAAAAAAAAAAAUACAAAGACCAUCCUUGUACAAAAAGUAAAGUAUAUUACAACUUGUAAUUUGCAUUAGUAUUUUAUAUAUGCCAUUAUUGUUGCUGUUGGUCUGUUAUAUAAAAAUACUAAUAAAAUAGCAAAUUGUUAUAUAUUUUAGUUUUUUGGGGGGUGGAUUCUCUCUCUCUUUAUAUAUAUAUAUAUAUAUAUAUAUGUAAAAAACAAGAUAACAUUCCUAUCAUGUAAUACCUUUUUUAUUGGACUAACAGAUUUUUUUAAUGACAAGCUUUCAGGAGAACCUCCCUUUCUCAAGUCUAAAGCAUUUCUGAGCAAGACGACAUAUAGAAUUAAAAGUUGAGUUGUGAUACAGGGGUCAUAGCGACAUGAGUGCAGAAAAGAUACAGGUUUGAUAGAAAAUAGACACUAUUCUCGCAGAGAGUCGUAAAUAUCUUGUGUGAAAAUCACAGAGUGAGGCUCACACUCUGUCGAUGACAUCUCAUUGAGAAUGCCCAAGGUCAUCUUUAAAAAUACUGUGAUCUCUCCACAGGCCACCAUUUUGUACUCUAUUUGUGUUCAAGUACAAUAGGGAUGUAAGUCCUUGCAGAAGAAGAUCUAAAUUAAGAACAAGAUGGCAGCUCAAAGGAGUAAGUUCAGGAACAUUUACCUACAGGAACAUUUAAUUUUUUUUGCCCCAGGCACUACAUUGUAAAAGGACAUUUCUUAGCUAAAGAUAUAAAGACUCUAAUAGUGUCAGGUUGCCAGAAAUUAAGAUAUUAGUAGUAUUCUUAUUAGCUAAUAAAGAGUUCUUACUGUUGCAAAUGCCCAGCAUGAGCCACAUUCUCCUUGACUUUUAACAGGAGUCACACAUUUUGAAUUUCUCCAGUCAUAUUCAUCAGGAAUAACAGGCAGAUUUCCAUGGCGAAUAUGGGCAUGGUGUGAAAUUGUCAAAUGUCUUUUCAAGCCAAGGCUGAUGUGGGAAGCCCGUUCUUCUGGGGUCUGAAACAUGAUAACCAUAAUUAUUAAAAAAUAAAUUUUAAUCACUUAAUUCCAUUCACUAAAUGCAAUAUUAUGGAAGUCAACAAAUUAUUUUCAUUUAAUUUAGUUAUUGUAUAAUAUUCCAAAUAUAUAAAAAAAAAAUUGUAUGCAGUAUAAAAAAAAUCUGAUAAAAACUAUGUGAUUAAAUAUAUACUAGCCCUCCUGCAUUUCCAGUGGUCUAUCUUUUAUAAUUCAUUAAUUGCUCUUGAUGUAUGUGAUUUUUUUUCUAUAGUUAACAUUAGUACUACUAUUACUUGUGUGUAUUAUCAUAACUUUGCAAGUGCAGCCUUGUCUACAUAUAAGAAACACAUUACUAACAUAGUAGACAAAUUGAUUCUGUUGUUAAUUUCUUAACCUUUUUGACAUGUAUUUCAAACAAAUAAAAUAUUUUCCUGAAAUUAUAUAUCUUAAAGUGAUAAGGCCAUCUUGGUUGAUUAAGCAAAUUAAUGCAUGAUUGAAAGAUGCAAAAAAAAUAACAGAGAAAAUGUUUCUCGUGCACAGAUUUUCCUUAUUACAAAGUAGCUACAUUCAUGUUUUCAUGGAUGAUAAUUACUGCAACUAUAAUAAAAAAAAUGCACAGCAAUGGAAAGGGAGGACCUCAUUACACCAUGUUAUCAGGGUACAGAUAUGAGGUUAGAUUUUUAUAUAAUAUGGUAUAAAACAGAAAACAAUCUAAUUUUAAUUAAAUAGAAAAUAUACCUCUAGAAUGAUUUCAUAAAACUUACCAGGUCUGCAAACUGAUUCAUUGCCAAAGUGUAGUUUUUAAGACCUAGUUCUGCCAGCUGGUUGUGUUGGUGCACCAGAUCCCUCGUGGCUAACCAUGCUCCUUGGCGAUUCAACUCAAUUUCUUCUGUGUCAUAUUGUUUUCCUGCCAUGGAAUUUAACCAUUGAAACAAUUUAAUUUACAACAUUUGGACAAAAACUGCACAUUAUAUUAUGUUGUGUUGCUUGCAUUGAUGGAUAUUUGCUCAACUCUUUUAGACUAAUAUUACUAAUAUUUUAUUCUACUCAAAGCCCUAAUUAAAAAUCUCUAUGAAUUAAUUAAUAGCUGUUUGCAAUAAGAUGGUUUAAUUGAAUGAACUGAAUACAAAAAUAAAUUCACAUUACAGAUUUUUAAUUUUCUUUGUGCUAAAAGAAGUUGUUUGUUUAUCAACAAAUUCUUGCUCAUUUAGCAUUUUGUUCUAGGGUAUGCAAUUCCUAUAUUCCUUUAUCAGGAUAAUUACUGAUGGAAAAAUAAAUCCCCAGUAAAAUUAAAUAUAUUAAAAAAGGAAAGGCAAUUAAAAACAAUUUAAAACAGUAACUCUUUUCAUUUAAUGUAUUUUGUCCUUUAAAUUCAGCAAAUUACUACAAGCCAUAGUUAUGGGAUAAAAAAAUUCGGACUUCAGGUUUUAUUGGUGAGCAUUCUCACAUUUUAAUGGACGUUACACAUCAAUCAAACCACUGUUAAUUUAUUAGUCUGGUUUUUUUUGUGUGUUUUUUUUGUCAAGUAACACAGUUUUUGGCAAUCUUUAGGGCUAUUAUAUUUUAAAAAUUUAAUUCAUGUAUUUAAUGAAUAAAUAAAGUAAAGUAUAUAUUAAGGCAAAAACUGUUUUUUCAAUUCUGGGGUAAUCCACUUAUUUGACGCACAUUAUGGAAACCAACACAGAAUUAAUAAACAUAUCACUAACAAAUCAUACUUAUGCAAAUAAGUACAUGUAACUAAUUAGCAUAAAUCAUACAUGUGUGUAUCUGUAUAAUUACAUACCAUACUUAGAUUUCCACAGGUUCCAUUCUUGUUCAAGGAAAUGUGCAGCCGAAGCGCAGACAACAAUUGUUGAGAAGAGGAACAGAUGUUUAUUGAACUUCAUCCUAAAGUAAACCAAUAGUACGUCUUUAGUUUAAAUACUCCAGUUAUAUCAAAUAUUUAUUUUGAAAUAUGAAAACUAAAAGUGUAAUCAGUUUCUUAUCAUAAAGGAGGCAAGAUAUAGGUUUAUAAACUGUUUAACCACACACAAUAGUUUUUUCCUAAGUUAAUAUGCUGUAUGUACAUUCUAUGUUUGAAAUAGCAUGUACACUGUAAUAAAGCUGGUAACGUACCUGCCUGAUGUGAUCCCAAGACCAGGAGCUCCUUCAGGUCUUGGUGAAUGAAGAGCUUUCAAAAUAUUGGUCUUUAUAUAUAAUUCUCCCCACCAAUAGAAUUCUUACUUGCGGCAAGUCAUGCUAAGAAUAAGAUAUGUGAAAACAGUUUGACCUAUCACAGAACUGAUAAGAUUUAAGAUUGAUUUGAUAUAACAUUUGAGAAAGAAAAUCACAACAAAAGAGGAAAUAUGUGGUAUCUUUUUGUGGUAUUUUAUUAUGUUGACAUCAUAACUUAAUAAUAAGAAAGGAGAGAGGGUAAAACAUAAAUCUGAAGUUCCACAUGCAAACAAUGAUAUGUUUAAAAUAUAUUGACAUAUGGCAAUAGGAUAAACUAACACUACUAAUGUCCCUUAAGCAUUUUACACAUGCAAGAGACAGAGAAAAAAAUGGAAAAUGCUGCUUGAGAAAUUACAAAAUGUUGAAUAUCUAGAUGGAACUGUGUGCAAAACAUUUUAGGUAUAUUUUUUUAUUUUUUUUUACAUUAUUUACUUUUGCAGUGCUUAGCGUAUCAGUCAGGAUAGCAUUUACAUUUUCAUAAUAUAUAUAUAAUAACGAAGAGUAGUAGAUGUAACAUGAAAUGUUAGGAACACUGCACUUUUAGUGGGAAAUGAGGGAAAACAGCAAAAACACAAUUCUUUCAUAGGGAGCAAUAUCAAAGGCCAAAUGAUGUAAAAUAGAAUUGUGACUGUCUACAAGAGUUAGAUACCACUGGGUGGAUAAGGUUAACUAUUACAGGGGCCCAAUUAAAGCAUUUUAACUAAAUUAGUGAAAAUAGGUCAUGGCAUAAUGGAUAGCAAGCUAACAAUAAAGAGGUGAAAUAGUUGCAAUGGUUAUUGAAAGAGCUUCAAAUAUUAGCCAAUAUUAGUCAUCUGCCACUGCAAGCAGGCCACAGCGGUAAGGCAGCUUCUUUGCCAGAUAUACUUCCUCCUCAUUCUCUCUUUGCCAGCAGGAAGGGCGUCUGAGUGGUGAGUUGGUAGGCAGGACACAGUCCAUAGUUCUGCGGCCCCAUAUCUCACAAGUCCAGGCUUUAGCAAGGGCCGGUUCCUUUUGUCUAUUAGUGCCUCACGGGAGGGUCAUAGGCUUACUUAUUUUAUUUUUUACAUGAAUUUAAAUUUAUGGUCUCCCCCUUCACUAUUUUAGGAUGAGGGGGGUAGGUAGUACUUUAAUUUUUUUUGGGGUGGGGGGUGACUACAUUUAGCCUCCACCUGUCUCACAUGAGUGGGGGCCAGUUGGGGAAAGGACAAUAGCUCCUCCCCAUUUUCAUUUAGGGUCCCAACCCGAUGCUCAUUGGUGGGGGCUGGGUGGAGGAUAAUAGGUCCCCCCCUUUUCAUUUAGGGCCCCUACCCACAGCUCAGGGGUGGGGGCAGGACAUUAUUGUUUUUUUAUAGGGCCAUCAUUUAGAAAGGGGGGUUUACAACAGUGAGCAGCCACUAUCUGCUCACUGUUCAGUAGACAUGCCCCUACUCGCGGCAUAGUGAGUAUGGGCAUUCUGGAGAUUUUAAUCUCCCUUAUGCUAAUAUAGGGGUCAUAUUGACCCCAAUAGAGUAAGGGGGGGCAUGGGGGCUUACAAGGAUGGAGCUGCGUGCCGGUAGGUCCCUCCUUGUAAUAAACCAAAUGAACAAAUAAAGAGAUCUUCAUUAAUUCAUUUGAAAUUUCUAUUUAUUUUUUCAUCUUUCUGACGAAUGAGUGAAUAGAUGAAAUUCCUGUUCGAAUGCCCAAGUGUUUAACUGGGCAUGCACAAGAAUUUCACAGCGCUAUCUACUGUGGGCAGAUGAUGUGUCCCACAAGGACUUCAUCUAACCACAGAAAGAUGGCGGUGCCCAAGACCUAGGUCUGGGCAUAAAAUAAAUAUUAACCCCUUAAGGACACAAGACAUGUGUGACAUUGAUUCCCUUUUAUUCCAGAAGUUUGGUCCUUAAGGGGUUAAAGAAUAGGUAAUAUGGGGGGCUUAGGGGUAUUUGUGGGUGAUAGGGGGACAAUUAGAUGUAGUGGAGUCAGGAAGGGGGGUUAAAAAAACAACUGGAUUCGGCCAUGACAUUGCCGCUUUAAAACUAAUGGCCUGAGUAACCUUUAUCUCACAUAUCUGCCACUUGCUCUCUCCUAAAGGGCUGCACUCCACUCUGUCCUUCAGUUCUGCUUCACUCCCAUCUUGUUUGUUUGCUUUCCCCCUCAAUGCCUUUCCUAAUGAGUUUUAUACCCUACUUCUUGAGUGGGAUAGGCAUGAGGCUAUCCUAGAUUUAAGAUAAGGCCAGGGACUAAGGAAAUAUUUUGAAACUUGGGCAGACUAGAUGGGCCGAAUGGUUCUUAUCUGCCGUCACAUUCUAUGUUUCUCUUUUACACUAUAAGCUUGUUUGAUCUGUAUCCUCAUCAACCUAUUGUUCCUGUAACACUUUGUAUUUGUCUUGUUUAUUGUUAAAUGUUCAUUUUUAUAAUAUUGUAAAGAGCUGUGGAAUAUGUUGGCGCUAUAUAAUUGCCAGAAAUUAUAAUAAAAUAUCUUAAACAUCAUAUCCCACAUAAAGAAACGUGUAAAAACACAUACACACAUUUGUAAUCCAUUGCACAGAAAAAAUAUAUCCAGAGUAUGAGUUUGUUUAUGGGAUAGUAGAGUAGUAUAUUCAAAUGGCAUACGUUUAAUGUAAAAAUAAAAGAAUGAAAUAUGGCCUAUAUUACAAAACUUCAAUGUAUAAAUAAAUGAACAAUGUGUACAAGAAUAUGAUUAGGAGUUAAUAAAAAGAGCCCAACCCUAGUACAUAUGCAAAUAGAUAGGAUAAAGAGAAUAAUUCAUUCUGAAUGAUAUUUCAAUAUUUUAAAACAAAUAAAUAUAUAUUACAGUUCUAUUUGUCACAUAAUACAACAUUAUUAGAAUAUGCAUACAGUAUUAAAAGUCUAGGCCUCCAUCCCUCAAGAUUCAGUAAACAGCUCUUGCAUAUGAUUAAUUCAUGGGUAUGCCCCUUUUACGUAUGUGAUGACCAAUGGCAUAUGGGGUGCAGAUGGAAGCCUACAGUUUAAACAGUUUAGGCUGUCAGUUGUUCAAAUCCCCAUGUGCUGCUUAAAUACAAGCCUGCAGCUGUUUAUCUGUCUCUAUGGCUAUUCAGCGCUGUAUUUAGCGCAAGGCUCACAAGGCAUUUGCCUUGGUCGGCACUUUAAGGGGGGCUGCCCCCAAGUUCCCUGGCAGAAGUCUUGUCAGCCUCUUGUCCAUCUGUUCACAUUGAGGGCGAGGGAGUGCUGUGCCCUGAGCACUUCCUGCUCAGCUCCGUAGCACGCGCCGCAGUGAUGCCGAAGUCAGGAUAUGACAUCACUCGAGCCCUGGCUUCACUAAGAGGUGCGCGAGGGAGCUGAGCAGGAAGAUCUGAGCUACCUUGCCACCUGCAUUAACUACCUACCCAGCAGUGAAAGAAUCCCCACUGGACCCCUGGGAAAUAGAGAUUCCACUCCAGUACUCCCAAAGGUAGGAAGGAUGAGUGGAUUGAAAUAAAAAAUGCUUUUUUUAAAUUGUGAGUGUAUCAGAGUGCGUGUGUCUGUUAGUGAGUUUGUAUGUGUGUCUGUCAAAGAGUUUGUGUGUUUGUCAAUGAGAGUGUAUAUGUGUUUGUCAGUGAGAGUGUAUGUGUGUUUGUCAGGGAGACUGUAUAUGUGUUUUUCAGUGAGUGUGUAUGUGUGUUUGUGAGUGAUUGUGUAUGCGUGUCUGUCAGUGUCUGUGUCUGUAACCGAAAGUGUGCCUGCCAGUGAGUCUGUAUUUGUGUCUGUCAGUAAAUGUGCAUGUCUGUUAGUGAAUGUGUAUGUCUGUCAUGUUGGUGUGUUUCUGUGAAAGUGUGUGUUGGUUAAACAGUGCGUGUGCCAAUGACUGUGCAUCUGUCAGUGAGUGUAUGUCAGUGUAUGCAUCUGUGAAGGCAUGUGACCGGCAGGCAAAGAGUGUGUUGUUUUUUAAAAGGAACAGAAAUUUAGAUGGGGGUGCCUGAGAUUUGUCAAGCCUAAGGCAGUACAAAACCAAACUACACCACUGUGGCUGUUUAGUAUAUUUUCCCACCUCAGGUAAGUACAUUGGUAUUUAAAUUAUAAACUAGUAUAAGUACCUAAAUUUAUGUUCUUUCAGUUCCUCCCAGUUGCUUAUUUUUGGGUUUCCUACUAACAAAUAUUAACAAAUACAUUAAGGAGGUCUGUGAGGUAAGCAUUUAGGUAAGUUUAUACAUGCAAUGAUGCAUUUAAAAAAAAGAGUGCUACUAAUGGAUAUCCUGGCUGUAUAAAGUCUACCUGAAUACCAAAGUGUGAAGAAAGGCAAAUAUCCAUGUUAAGAAAAAGUAUCCCUGGGUAAAUAACUGAUCUACAGACUUGUACAUGACAUGAGGUAUAAAGUCUGAUGCUAAGUCCACUCAGACACUUGUUCCUAUUACGGCAUGUGGCAAUGAUUGUUGUUGUCUGUGCAUUGUGGCACAUAAGCAGGCUUUUUCAGAUUGUGGAAGGUAAAAUAUUUUUGGGAUAUUUCUGAUUAUCUAAAUCAGCAUAUGAGACCAAGAUAUCCUCUCAGUAUGAACUGUUGAAGAUCUUCUAUAGAUUUGGAUAUCACAUAGCCUCAGUAUAUUUGACUGAUAUUAUCUCGGUACAUGAGCUGAUCUUAAGCACAGCAUCAGUAUGCGUCCAGUAUAUGUUCUAUGUAUGAAUUACUCUGCGGACAUAACCUCAAUAUAUGUAUCCACUAUAUGCUUUAUGUAUGAAUUGGUCUGAAGACUCAGUUUCAGUAUAUGUAUCCAGUAUAUGCUCUAUAUAUUAGUUGGUCUGAAAACAUAGCCUCAUUAUGUAUGUCCACGAUAUACUCUAUGUAUGAGUUGGAGUGUGUUCACAAUAUGCACUAUGUAUGAGUUGAUGUGAGGACACAGCAUCAAUAUAUGUAUCCAUUAUGUACUCUUUGUAUGAGUUGGUCUGUAGACACAGCUUCAGUAUAUGUAUCCAUCAUAUGCUCUAUGUAUGAGCUAGUGUGAAGACACAGCCUCAGUAUGUGUCUUCUAUACGCGCUAUAUAUAAGAUGAUGUGAAGACACCGCUUCAGCAUAUUAUUAUUAUUAUUUUAUUAUGUAUAUAGCACCAGCAAAUUCCAUAGCGCUGUACAAUGGGUGGACUAACUGACACGUAAUUGUAACGAGAAAAAUGAACGCCCAGGAACAGAAAGGUUGAGAGCCCUGCUCAAUGAGCUUACAUUCUAGAGGGAAUGGGGUAUAAUGACACAAAAGGUAUAAGUAGGGGUAAUGAAAUAGGUUGCAAAAAAGUAUUCACUGAGAACUUAUAAUAUUUUUGACAGUUGCAGGAGAAGAGUCAUGGGGGGAUGAAAACCUGCUAACAGUUUAAAUGAUAUGCUUUCCUGAAGAAGUGUGUUUUCAAAGAUUUUUUUGAAGGAGUGGAGACUGGGUGAAAGUCUAUCAGAGAAGGGAAGGGAGUUCCACAGAAAAGGUGCAGCCCUGGAUAAGUCUUAGAGGCGAGCAUCAGAUGUGGGAGUACAGACAGAGGAUAGACGUAGGUCUCCAGCAGAGCACAGGGGCCUCAAUGAGACAUACUUGUGUAUUAGGGAGGAUAAGUAGGUCGGAGCAGCAUUAUGUAGGGACUUGUAAGUAAGCACCAGAAUGUUAAAUUGAGCCCUAUAUCUAACUGGAAUCCAAUGUAGGGAAUGACAAAGGAGUGGGAGGUGCAGGCAGACAGGAAAAUGAGCCUCGCUGUCGCAUUCAUUAUAGAUUGCAGUGGUGCAAUCUAUAAACAUGUAAGUUUACUGAGAAGGGGAUUGCAGUAGUCAAGGAGAGAAAGGAGAGAAAGGAGAGAAAGAACAACAGCAUGGACCAGCACCUUAGUCGUAUCAGUUGUUAAAUAGGGGAAGAUGCAAUGUUUUUGAGAUGGAAGCGGCAGGAUUUGGUGAUCAACUAGACAUGAGGGGUGAAGGAGAGGUCAGAGUCAAAGAGAACACCUAGGCAGCGAGUCUGCGAGGGGGGGUGUGAUGGUGGCGCCGUUGACUUUGAGUGAGACAUACACAGGAGUAGCAACACUUGAGGGAGGAAAGACCAGAGGUUCUGUUUUGGACAGGUUGAGUUUAAGGAAGUGAGCAGCCAUCCAGUUAGAAAUCACAGAGAGGCAGUCAGAGACAUGAGUCAAGAUGGGCGGAGAAAUAAGAGAUGAGGAGAGGACAGGUACAUUUGCAUGUCAUCUGCAUAUAAAUGAUAAUGAAAGCCAAAGGAGCUGAUGAGUUUUUCAAGGGAGGCAGUAUAGAUGGAGAACAGUAGGGGAUCAAGGACAGAACCUUAGGAAUGCCAACAGAGAGGGGUUGGGGAGAAGAGGCAGAGCCAGAGAAAGAAAUACUGAAAAAGCGCCACGAAAAGUAGGAGGAGCACCAGGAGAGAGCAGUAUCUUGUAGACUGAGAUUACAGAGAAUGAGAAGUAGCUGUUGAUGAUCAACAGUGUCAAAGGCAGCAGAAAGAUAAAGGAGAAAUAGGGUAGCGUAAUUGCCUCAAGAUUUAGCUAGUUAUAGCAGGGUUUCUUCUCUGCUGGUUACUUCAACAGCUACUCAGGAACAAACAGGAUACUUCAAGAAAGCAGACAUAAGCAUAAAAUCAUCCACAAAUAUCCCUUCACCCUUUCCAAUAACUGGAUGACACUCAUUAUUAGGAGCAGAACUGAUCCUUUAAUGGCCAUGCUGGCCUUUUAUGCUUGUUUUUCCCACAAGGUUACCACCCAGGUGGACCUUGUUGGACACAGGUCCAGUACAAAACCAAUAAACACAGAGUCAGGUAAUGAGUUACUCCCAUACAUUCCACACAAUCCCUCCCCUCUGCUUAGGCGAUAAUUGAGUUAAUUACUAUAUCAACUCAAUUAUCAUCCACACAAAUUUUUUUUUUUUUUAUACAUUUCCAGAAGUACCCCAAAAACCUAUCCUACUCCCACAAUUCAGACCCUGAUAGCCCCAAUCUGGAGAGCUACAUACUGAAAAAUUACCCAGAUUGGUUCAGGGGUUCGACAAUUCUAUGUAGGUCUUUACCGACCGCACACAAGGUGUAAGCCGAAAAUAGUUCCAUGUGUUUGGGCUGUGCGGUCGGUCUACGUUCGAGAGUCUGAAAUACAUGAAAUUGUAUAUGAACAUGGUUCGUGCCUUGGUUAGUUGAAAUAAUCUCAUUCGUGUGAUUCCUUUCACCGAAUGCCACUCUGUUUUCCUGAGUUUACACAAACUUACACGAAGCUGGAAGUCUCUGAAGUGUUUGUGCCAUUAAGUGUCCGUUGAUUUGGGUUCCAGACACUCGACAACCAAACCCCGCUGGUACAGUUCGUAUUCAAAGAUGGCCGCCCAGGGGAUCACCCAGUUGGUUUGUGUGUUUGUGGUUAAGCAAGUGUGAACAAGGUUAGGAAGGUCAAUUGGCGCCACGCUCCUCUCAUGGGUGGCCUAGUUGUUCGGUACUUAGUUCGUUUGUCGAGCUAUAUAUGGAAAGUCAGCUGAAAGAGGGCUGUUACUGAACAACCAGACGAAAAAAUUAAAUGUAAUAGUUUCUUACUUGUUUCCCCAAGUAACGAAAAGUAGAAAUCACAGAAAAGAGGGUAUGGACAGCCCCUAGUACAAAGAGAGGUUCUGUUGCAAAGCCCAUUCUGCUACACACAGCUGUUUCAACAGAGUGAAGAGCACAGAAUCCAUUCUGAAGUUGGUCAAGCAGAGAGAUGAAUUUGAGAUAGUCUGUCAAUCUUACACAACUCUCUCAAGGAUCUUGGAAGCAAACGGCAGUAGUGAUAUAGGGCGGUAGUUGGAUGGGGAAUUGGGGAUCAAUGUUGGGCUUUUUCAGAAUUGACAUUAUGGUUGCAUGCUUGAAGGGUGAAGGAAAUGUGCCAGAGGAAAGGGAGAGAUUGGAAAUUUUAGUGAGAAGAAGAGCAAGAGAGGGAGAUAGGGUGCGGAUGAAAUACGAGGGAAAAGGAUCAAGGGAAUAGGUGGCAGGGAGGGAGGACCGGAGCAGAGCAGAAACCUCUUCCAUUGUAGUAGGUGCGAAAGAGCAUAGAACAGUGGAGUGAGUGGGGUUGGGUGAUGUAUUGGAAGGGUGAUAUGGGAAAAUGCAAAUAUUGUAUUUCUCAAACUGUGUACUUUGUCUUUAAGAGAUAUUGAAAACUGACAAAGUGUUGGAAAUGAAACAUAUUGUUUUUCAUACAUGUUUCUCUAAGCAAUAACCAUUUACCUACUUUCAGUGCAUGAUAUGUUUACGCCAUUUUGUCCCAGACGAAAUACAAUAACAAUAAUGCAUAAACAAGCUUCAAGGCAACGCUACGACUCUUUCAGUACAUAAUAUACUGAGGUAACCCUAAAUACAUAAAGCUGUUCAGAUGCCACCUUGAUCUAAGUAAGGGAAUUUUCCAUGAUGUAUGCACCCCCUUACGUUUUAGUUAUGACCUUGUAUUUUUGCCAAGUUAAGGGAGGUCCUAAAAUGAAUAAAGUGAAAGAAGGGUUAUUUUUUCAUGUAUGAGGAGCAAAAAAACAGGGCGCAAGAGUAUUCUGAGAACGAGCAACAGCUUAAAUAGUCUGCCCUUCGGUGGGUCCCCGCUCAGAUCUCAAGCUAGUUUUAACUCAUCUUGUGCCAUUACAGAGAGAACAUCUCUGAAACAUAUCAGACUGGUCCCACCCAUACGGGCAGUCCAAAUUUGAAAUGCCAGCAAGUUCCCUCUGCACGAGAGGCAGAGCAACCCCAGACGAUUGUUUCAGCCUUGUUAGGCAUCAUCAGUGAGGCAUAGCUGAUAUCUCUCUAGGCACCCAGAGCAAGGGGUCCAAGUCUGGAUUACCCUUUAAACUUAUGGAGAGCAAAAAAACAGGGUGCAAGAGUAUUCUGAGAACGAGCAGCAGCAGAACUAGCCUGCCCUUCUGUGGGUCCCCACUCAAAUCUCCCCUGCUCGUUCUCAGAAUACUCUUGCACCCUGUUUUUUCGCUCUCCAUAAGUUUAAAGGGAGAGUGGUUAGAGAUCUCUUCCAUGAUUGUAGAAAUCUUCUCAGUGAAGUGAGUUGCAAAGUUUGAGGCAGACAGGGUGGUAGCAGGAGGGGGAGCAACAGGGCAAAUUAGAGCAUUAAAAGUGUGAGAUAGGCAUUUGAGUUGGCGGGACAGUGUGCUUAUGAGGGUGUUGAAGCAUGUGUCCACUAGAGCAGCAGGAAAUGCUAGCAGAAUGCUUGGUUGUAUAGGGAGAGGUAUUAGCAGUAGAAAGAGGGAAGUGCUCAUGCCAUUGUACAGAACACUGGUGAGACCUCACUUGGAGUAUUGUACACAGUACUGGAGACCGUAUCUUCAGAAGGAUAUUGAUACCUUAGAGAGGGUUCAGAGAAGGGCUACUAAACUGGUUCAUGGAUUGCGGGAUAAAACUUACCAGGAAAGGUUAAAGGAUCUUAACAUGUAUAGCUUGGAGGAAAGACGAGACAGGGGGGAUAUGAUAGAAACAUUUAAAUAUAUAAAGGGAAUCAACACAGUAAAGGAGGAGACUAUAUUUAAAAGAAGAAAAACUACCACAACAAGAGGACAUAGUCUUAAAUUAGAGGGACAAAGGUUUAAAAAUAAUAUCAGGAAGUAUUACUUUACUGAGAGGGUAGUGGAUGCAUGGAAUAGCCUUCCAGCUGAAGUGGUAGAGGUUAACACAGUAAAGGAGUUUAAGCAUGCGUGGGAUAGGCAUAAGGCUAUCCUAACUAUAAGAUAAGGCUAGAGACUAAUGAAAGUAAAAUUGGGCAGACUAGAUGGGCCGAAUGGUUCUUAUCUGCCGUCACAUUCUAUGUUUCUAUGUUUCUAUGUUUCUACGUGCUCUAUGUUUUAGUUAAAAUGCAAGAUGGACCACCAGGAUAGCACCGCAAAGGAUUUCCUUUCAUUAAUGUUUAUGGCUAUCAGAAUAUCUUCAGCGAUUAUAGCUCUACAGCAGAUCCACCGCAAGCACUAGCUAACCUAGUGUAGGGUGAAAUAGAACUAGUUUAUUGUCACAUUUUUUUACCUUGGGUCUCAACAGGAACUCCCCUGAGAGAAUAAAAGAAUUACAACAUUCCCAGAGCCUUGGUGUCUGUGCCUGAGUAGAUAAUUUAAUGAUCAGCCAGACACCUUUGCACUGGGAUAAUAAAAAAUACAAUAAUUAUGGUUUUCGUCCCCACAUCUCCACACAACUGCUGUCCCCAGGAAGCUUGUUUCAGAGCACCUACUUUGUCCAAAAGGUGCUCAGAUCGGAGGUUGCUAGCCAGAUUUAGGUGGAAGUGAACAUUUCAGCAGGUUUCAUCUAGCCUCCAAUCUUUUCGCAGAGUUCCAUGGUGCUGGGUAGAAAAUCCCAGUCACCCAAAACCACAGCGCUUUCCAUGAAUCUUUGUAGCUCCUCAAAGUCCAAAGUCACCCUAUCCCCUAUUACCCCAAGAGCACUCUGGGUAAAGUUUUGGUGGGCAGUUGCUGCGAGACAGUAUAUGUGAAUGAAAUAAAAGACACAAUCUCUAUGUAUGAGUCCAAUAUAAUCUUUGUGUUUGACGAUGAAGAGGAUAAGAGAAUGAAGAGGAUAAGAGAAACACACUGCAUUUUACAUUUGCAUUAGAGUUCUCCCACACAGGUGUUUAAGUAUUAGCAAUUAAACACUUUAGAUGGACUGCAUGUGUUACUGAUCCUGUCUGUGCACCCCUCCAUCUGGAGAGAAGGGGACCUGAUUUCCAAAAUUGAGGCUGGUGAUGUUCAAUAUCAAUUAAUGGCCCUUUAUGUGUGCACACCUAUGCAUAUACGUGAGAGAAGUUGCUACAAAAGUAUUUUUUAUUGCCAGGUACCAUCUCCUCAUCAAUCAAGGUAAAGAAUGUUUUUACGUUUAGAGGUAGUGUUUAACCUUAGUAGAUACUGCUGAUUGCAGGUGCACAGCUUAGUAGGUAUUGCUGAUUGCAGGUGCACAGCUUAAUAGAUCUUGCUAAUUGCAGGUGCACAAUUUAGUAGAUCUUGCUGAUUGCAGGUGCUAAGCUGUGGCUAUCUAUUGCUCCCAUGAGCAGGUAGCUCUCUGAAGCAAUCAACUGACCCGUUUCAUUGCUUUACUUUCUCAAAUAUAAUUUGACUUUGAUUUAAAAGCUAUGAAUAUUAUUCUGUAUUACCAAGUCACAACUUAAGUAAUCAUUUUUAAUUUCUGUAGGAUUCUACUCUCAAACGCAAUACUACUAGUCUGGCUUAUAAUUUUUAUUCAGAUUUUAGCUCAAUGCCCUGCAGUUGGUUUAGAAUGGAGUGAAUUUCCUUAAUGCAUAAUAUGUAUAAUUCAGAGAAUGUGCUAUUUGUUAUGUUCAGUAUUCUGCUAUUUGAUAUCUUGGUGGCCUUGAGUUAGACAAUUUUUUUAAUGCAUGUCAGGGGUGGCAUGCUUUUGAUUCUUAAGAGUAGCCUGUUGUGAAGUUCUCAGGGGGAACAUUAUAAUUUAUUUUCUGCAAUAACAUCUAUUUUCUUAGUCUCAUAUUCUCCAUGUAUUAUGGAUACUGGGUAUCGCAAGUGUUUUAAUUGCCACUUUUCACUCCUCAGACUAUUGUAACAGUUUUAAUAUUUCAGGUGAAUUAUUCUUGCUACCAAAACAAUAAGGGAAAUACCUGAACAUUACGUCCCAUUACUGAUCUCUGUUCUGAUGUUCAAGGGGAUUCUUCUGGGUGUCUCACUAUCUGAGCUUUACAGCCAAUGUGUGGUUUUAAGAUGUAGAGUCAUCAAUUAAAAGUAAUAUUGUAGCAUGUUUAUGACAAACAAUUGGCUGAUAUGUUUUUAAUGGUCUCUGUACCUAGAUCCGUAUUAGUGAUAAUCAUUCCUGACAUUGCAUUGAUGUAAAUAUUUGUGAAUUAUAUGCUUCGACUGGGGUUGAUAGCUUUGCAGAUUAAACAAGCUGCACAUGGAUCUUAUCAUCACCAUAUGCUCUGCUGUAAGUCCUUCAACACUAUCUGAAGAUAAGGUCAGCAUACGCAUGUGGUUGUUUGUUCUUAUAAGGACAACUGAAUAUCUUCGACUAUUCUGCUUCUAAUCAUUUUGAUUCUACAGUAUUUUAAUCUUUGAAUGUAUGUCCUGACGUUGUUAGCCUAACUUUGCUACCUAUAAUUUAGUAGUUGCCAUAAUUUCUUUGAUUUAUCCUGAUAUUCUGUCACUACUAUCUGAAUGAUGUGCUCUUUUUUUGCCUUUGCCUAGUAAUAUCUACUGUGACAGAAGAUCCCAUGCAAUGGCCUUUUGUAAAAGCUUGAAGGACAGCCUCUUUCCCACAGACUAUGGACCUGGUCCCAAAAGCGCCUGAAAGGGGCUUGUGAUGGUAGCAAUUGAAAAACAAACUAUUUAUUGUUACUUCUACAAUGCCCUUUGCUGACUGAAUGGAAGUGUCUGUCACGACUGUUAGUGUGGUCCAACACACAGAAACUAUGUAAACAUAUAGAUAGAAAAUGAAAAGGAAAUAAAAGGACAGAAUGUAAACCGGUCCUUAGAAUGGCCGGACUAAUACGUUAGCGACAGAGAAUGGUCAAAGGGAAAGCCGAGGUCAAGGAAGCCAGAAAUACACAAAUAAAGUUUAAACAAAAAUAAAAUUGUCCGCCGAUCGCAUGACUGAAACUUCGGUCUAAUCUUACUUCCUUUGUCACCCUCAUUUUUCACUACCACAUAUUUAUAUGUUCUGUCUACAUUUUACUGUUUCUUGCUAUACAGCUAUAUGUGAUUUUUAACUUUAUCUUCAGUCAUCAAUUAAGCAAUUAGGAUGUCAUUUUGGCACUAUUUUUAAAACACACCAGCUGUUUCACUCCCUUUAUAAACCCAGACCUGCCAGGUUAUGUUCUCUGCAUUUCUACUUGAAAAAAACCUGAUGGCGAACCUUGUUGUGGACAUUUUAAACUGUAUUGUAUUUUAUUAAAGUUAUUUUGGUCACUUCCUCACUGUGAGUUGCCAUUUUACUUUUUAAAAAAAUAUUUUUAUUUUAUUUUAUUUUUACCUAUUUUAGCUGGCUUCUGAGUUGUAUUGUGUUCCAGUGAGACAUUACUCCAAAGAAUCCUAGGUGGGGAUUAUACCACUCAAGCCCUAUACACUGAGCAGUCUGCCUGUUUGUGUAAAUGUGAGUAACCACUUUAGAUUUUAUUUUCUGCUUUCCUGAUUUUAAAUAGAGAACACUAUGGCUGUUCCUUUUUAUUUCAUAUGACCUUCCCUCAGACAAGAAAUCAUCUCAUGUAUCCUAUAAGUGGGGAUUAUACCACUGUACGCACUUCAUACUACAGCUAGUCCAUUAGCUCUAUAAAAUGUGAAUAGGAUCAUAUAAGACUUUUACCAGAAUAACACCUGAUUGUUGAAUAUACUGCACCAUUAGUUGUCUCUUUUAUUUCCACAUACAGAGUGUAAGAACAUCUUCAACUUACGGAGCUGUUAUCUCAUAUUCUAAAUUUUCGUUUGCUUCUACAUACAGUCCCCCAAAAGACAUUCUUGAACUCUACUACUGGACUUUUAAUCACUUAGACUAUAUUAUUAUUAUUUUUAUCUACUUUGCUCUUUAUUACUGGCGCCGCCUAUCUACUACCCUCUACAUAUGGGGUACGACUCUAAAAUCUAAAAGGAACAUAAACAAAACAUAGUGUGAUACAAUUUGAACAAAAAAUGUGUGCUGUACAAGAAUGCACUCACAAGAUGUAGACGUAUUAUGCGCUCAAAGGGUGCUUCCCCAAUGUAAUUGGGUGGCUAUGGAUCCCUCUCCUCCAUCUGCAGGUGUAGCAGGAAAUCAGGACUCCAGAUGGUUGUAUGAAAUAAUGGCUUUUUAUUAUAAAUCAAAUAAAAUUGAUAAUGCUAUUAAAACAGCAGUAGUUGUAGUCUUACACGUUUCGUCCCACACUUGGAACUUCCUCAAAGUCCAUAAAAUCAAAGUAAGUAACAAAUGGUUAUACAAAAAUAACAGCCUAACAAUUCCCAAAUCCCACCCCAGAGUCCCUUUAGGUAGGACUAAUUCCUGAGUUCAUUGGUGGUUCCGAGGGUGUUGUUUUUCCUCCGUGGUCCUAUCGGUUCCCUUCUUGCACUGGUUCACCUAUGGAUCUUCAAGAUUUAUCUCUUGUGUCUCGGCCGGUAAUUAGACAUCUGUCAAAAACUGGAAACGGAAGUGCAUUCCAUUGAACACUUCUGCAUUCCAUUUACUGUGAUGUGAGCCAGAGAGAUCAAAAAGGCUAUAUACAUGCCAUAGAGUUCACAGAAGUAGUGUGUGACCCUUUGGUGGUCGCCAAAGGUAUUACAAGAUUCAAAGUGAUGUUAACAAAACGUAACAUCAAGAGCUUGAUCAGCUAAAGCGAGGGUUAUUAAUACCACAAAUUCAUCAUUAAUCAGAGCCGUCAAUAUGAAUUAAAGUGCAAGGAAAUAAACUUAUAUCAUGUGAUGGAUACUUAGCAUGUAGUUAAGAAAACGGAUAAUAAUUCCUUUUCUGAUGUUAGUUGUAUCUAUAAUUUUCUUUUUUAUGACAACUUCACUCAGGGAUUAAUUAUUUAAAGUGCAUAUAUUAAAGUGAAUAUGUGCAAUGAUUGAUAAGUGUCAAUUAUUAUUUGUUAUGUUCUAAAUGAUAAUUGAAAUGAAUUAAUAUACUAUAGUGUAACCACACAUACCUAUUUUUAUAAUGCAUGACUGUAUAACCUGUCCUAAAAUAACAACUGAUUACAUUUGAUAUCCCUAAUUCAAGGGUGAAAAGGAACAUAUUUAUAUCUAUAUUGUUCAUUUGCUACCACAGUUUUAAUCAUAAAAUUGAUUCUUAAGAGUAACAAUGGAUAUAUUAAGGUGAGUAGGUACAUUAAACCGUAAAUACGUAAUAUUUAAAUUUUUUGUUAUAUUCUAAAUAGUAAUUGAAAUAAAUUAAGGUAAUGUGAUGUUACCGUACAUACCCACUUCUAUAAUAUAUAACUGUAAAGCCUCUCAUAAAUCAAUAACUAUCUGGUAUCCCUAAUACAGAGGAUAUAUGGAACAUAUGUAUGUACAGAGGAAGAGAAUACGCAGGAAAAAAUACACAGAAAAAAAUACACAUGAACCAGAAGUAAAGAUGGGAAGAUGUAAAAUGGGAGAGAUGGUCUAAAUCAUAAAAAACAAACUAAAUCUAUGUCCAAAUUCAGUACCUUUGGUUCUAACAUUUGGAGUUUGUGAAUCCAAUAGGUUGUAUGUUGGGCAAGUUUUUCUUACCCUAUCACCACCAUGCCAAUACGGUGUCACCCUUUGACCGAAUGUGUCAUAAGGACUUUCUUUAUAUUGUUUAGAUGUUCUAAAACCCUGAUCUUAAGGAUUCUUUUAGUACGUUUGAUGUACUGUUUGCCACACGGGCACUGCAGCAAAUAAACUACAAAGUCUGUGUGGCAUCCAACCUCGGACUUAAUCUUGAAAACAUCUCCAGUUUUAAAGCUAGAAAAUUGGUUUGUCCUAUCCAGAGAGAUGGUGGAGCAAGCUUUACAAGACUUGCAUCCUCUAAAAGUACCAGCGUGCCCCAUGAUGUUCCCAACAUCGGUAUUUAUUGCGUAACUGGGGGCUAACAUAUUUUAUGUUUACGAUUUUUUUUUUUUUAUAUAUGAGUGUAGGUUGAUCUCGUAGAUGAGUUCCCAGGACUGGUUCCUGCAAUAAUAUGGACCAAUGUUUUUUGUAUGCUAUUUAUUAUUCCUCCAUGAUCCAGAUUAUACUGGGUCCCAUAUGAAGAUUUGAAAUUGGGUAUGUCAAUCAGUAGAGCAUUUCUCUGUAUUUUAGAAGUGAGACCAUUUUCUCUCUCUAAGGCAUUACUUUUAUAUCCCUUCUCCAAGAGCUUAUUUGCUUAUAUGUUGAGAUUAAUUCUCAAAAUCCUGAAAAUGGGAACAAUUGCGCCUUAGGCACAUAAAUUGUCCUUUAGCAAUGCCUUUAAAGGGACAAUAUAGUCACCUGAACAACUUUAGCUUAAUGAAGCAGUUUUGGUGUAUAGAACAUGCCCCUGCAGCCUCACUGCUCAAUCCUCUGCCAUUUAGGAGUUAAAUCCCUUUGUUUAUGAACCCUAGUCACACCUCCCUGCAUGUGACUUGCACAGCCUUCCAUAAACACUUCCUGUAAAGAGAGCCCUAUUUAGGCUUUCUUUAUUGCAAGUUCUGUUUAAUUAAGAUUUUCUUAUCCCCUGCUAUGUUAAUAGCUUGCUAGACCCUGCAAGAGCCUCCUGUAUGUGAUUAAAGUUCAAUUUAGAGAUUGAGAUACAAUUAUUUAAGGUAAAUUACAUCUGUUUGAAAGUGAAACCAUUUUUUUUUCAUGCAGGCUCUGUCAAACAUAGCCAGGGGAGGUGUGGCUAGGGCUGCAUAAACAGAAACAAAGUGAUUUAACUCCUAAAUGACAGUGAAUUGAGCAGUGAAUUUGCAGGGGAAUGAUCUAUACACUAAAACUGCUUUAUUUAGCUAAAGUAAUUUAGGUGACUAUAGUGUUCCUUUAAGCCACGGUUAAUGGUGACAACUUUUCCGAUGGACAUAUCCAUUGCCAUCUGUCGGCUUAAAAAAGCAUUUGGUUUUUAUUUAUCCAUUUUCAUAGAAAAGAGUCAAAUUAAGAACAUUGAUUUCAUCCUUACUCCACACAGGGGUAAAUUUAAGAUUAUAUUAGUUAUUUUUUAGAAAAUUAACAAAAUCCUGAAACAAAAUAGAAGACCCUCUCCAAAUAAUUAUAACAUUGUCAAUGUAUCUCUGUAUAAUUAAACCUGUAUAUGUUAUUAAGCAGUCUCACUGAUCCAACACAUCAGUUAUCAUUUACAGAGCUAUUUACAAAAGUGAGAAUUAAAAGUGAAUUUUAAAUUAAAGACUAGAGUAGCUAAACUGAAAGCUUAACUGACCUAGGGAAUUUUUCAUGUUCAGCUAGUUUGACCUUAAAUCUGAAAUUCUCCUUGAAUUCACGAAAUCAACUUCAGUUCUCACUUUAGUAAAUAACCCUGUUAGAUCACCUUGGUUGAUAACUAAAUGUAGAAUUUUUAUAUGUAAUUUCUUUCUUAGGCUGUUCCUUAAGAACUAUAGCUACAAUUUGCAUCUUAUCUUAUUUUAUUGAUUCUAGCUUUCCAAUAUAAUAAAGUCCCCUUUAUGUAAAAAAUGCAAUAGAAAACACAAGUUAGAUGCAUUUUCUUUAAUUAAAACAAAUGAUAUGCCAUGAUAACAUUUAUCGGUUUUAUGUAGGUGGAGCCCAUCUCAAAAUCACCAAGUGAAGAUUUUAAUAAAACAAAAGCCAAUUCAUCGAGAGGGAUAUUCUUCUGUGUCAACCACUGAAUUUUGUGUUGCUGCUCGAGGCGUUCUUUAAUUAAAUGUGAAAUCCAUAGUCGCUGGCAUGACGCCUAUACUGCACUGGUUAAUGUUUCUCUUCAUUCUCACAUAGCCGGCUUCUCCCCAACCAUCACCCCAGCUACAAAGAAAAAAAUAUAUACAGUUUUUAAUUGGUGAUUGUAAUGCAAUAAUAUCUCAG